RNAcentral lists this ribosomal RNA (577 nucleotides) under Pantoea agglomerans. Its description in RNAcentral is "bacterial SSU rRNA". It matches the Rfam family "Bacterial small subunit ribosomal RNA", at positions 731 to 1308 of the family's 1533-position model. Lineage: Bacteria; Pseudomonadati; Pseudomonadota; Gammaproteobacteria; Enterobacterales; Erwiniaceae. The record is from RNAcentral.
UGCACAAAGCUUUCGCUCAGAGGCGAAAUCUUGGUGCGCAAACACGAUUAGAUCCCCUGGUAUUCCACAGAGUUAUCGAUGUCUACUCGGAGGUUGUGCCCUUGAGGCGUGCCUUCCGGAGCUACCGCGUUAAGUCGUCCGCAUGGGGAGUCCGGCUGCAAGGUUAAAACUCAAAUGAAUUGACGGGGGCCCGCACAAGCGGUGGAGCAUGUGGUUUAAUUCGAUGCACCGCGAAGACCCUUACCUACUCUUGACAUCCAGAGAACUUAGCAGAGAUGCUUUUGUGCCUUCGGGAACUCUGAGACAGGUGCUGCAUGGCUGUCGUCAGCUCGUGUUGUGAAAUGUUGGGUUAAGUCCCGCAACGAGCGCAACCCUUAUCCUUUGUUGCCAGCGGUUCGGCCGGGAACUCAAAGGAGACUGCCAGUGAUAAACUGGAGGAAGGGGGGGAUGUCUCAAAGUCAUCAUGGCCCUUACGAGUAGGGCUACACACGUGCUACAAUGGCGCAUACAAAGAGAAGCGACCUCGCGAGAGCAAGCGGACCUCAUAAAGUGCGUCGUAGUCCGGAUUGGAGUCUGC